GUAGGUUACUUAAACCCCUGAAUUGUGGUUUCAGCAACGUCUAGAGACCCUUUUUC
This 56-nucleotide transfer RNA is filed under the name Eisenia balatonica. Its description in RNAcentral is "partial tRNA-His". Lineage: Eukaryota; Metazoa; Annelida; Clitellata; Crassiclitellata; Lumbricidae. The record is from RNAcentral.